Molecule: ribosomal RNA, 343 nt
Filed under: uncultured bacterium
Lineage: Bacteria
Description: bacterial SSU rRNA
Rfam family: Bacterial small subunit ribosomal RNA
Source: RNAcentral
AGAGGUGGGGGACAACCCUGGGAAACUGGGGCUAAUACCGCAUAUGGGCUGAGGCCCAAAGCAGUGAUGCGCCUUUGGAGCGGCCUGCGUCCGAUUAGGUAGUUGGUGGGGUAAAGGCCUACCAAGCCUGCGAUCGGUAGCUGGUCUGAGAGGACGAUCAGCCACACUGGGACUGAGACACGGCCCAGACUCCUACGGGAGGCAGCAGUGGGGAAUAUUGGACAAUGGGCGCAAGCCUGAUCCAGCAAUGCCGCGUGUGUGAAGAAGGUCUUCGGAUCGUAAAGCACUUUUGACAGGGACGAUGAUGACGGUACCUGUAGAAUAAGCAUCGGCUAACUUCGUG